CAAGUUACAAGGUGAGUUUCCCACCAACUCCACCAACUUAUGUUGGUAACAAUAUGGAAACAUGUAGAGUAGCAAACUUGCCCUAAAAAAAUGGGUAGAAUUCUACACCUGUUAUUAAUUUUGAAGCUAUUAAUUAAUAUUGAAAUUCAAUAUUCAUACGUCACAAUAAACCCCUAAAAUAUUUCCCUCUUCCACUCUCAUUCACGAUUCUCUGGGUAGCACCAGAAAGUAGGGGCUUCAAAUUAUCUCUCACAAACACGAGUAGCUACGAAAUUCCAACGGGAAGUGUCGGCAAGUCAUAAGUCAUAAGUCACAAGAAUUCACACAGUAGCAAGUUGCGCGGCUUCGAGCAUCCACACAUUCAGAAUUCCCAUUGGUAUUUAGUGUGGAAAAAAAGGGCAGAUCGCGAAAGCAAAUAUAACACAUUGAGAUUCUAUAAGUUCACUUGGACGGACAAAGGAUGGCAGCUGUUAUGAAAAGAUAUGUUCUAAAGCUGUUUAUAUCUUUGAAGUACAUCACAGCAAAUGUAGUAGAUAGGAACAAUGGGAAGAUUGUUGCCACAGCUUCUACAGUUGAGCAUGCUCUCAAAAACACGUUUGAGUGUGGUCGGUCUUGCAAUGCAAAGGCAGCAACCAUUGUGGGAGAAGUAUUGGCGAGGCGUUUGAAGGUUGAAGGUCUCGAUGAUGGACAAGGAAGAGGGAUCCAUAUUAAUAUAAAUAAGGAGGUCGAGAGAAAAGGCUUUAAAAGUCGCACCAAGAUAUGGGCUGUUGUGAAUGCACUAAAAGACAGUGGCGUUAAGCUCGUACUUGAAGACAGGGAUGAUGAUGUUUGAGCAUAUUGUUAAUGCUACCCACAUUUUGUAGUUGGGUUGGAAAGGAUAAUGAUAUUUCUCCAUAUAUAUCCUAGAGUAGAGACGUUGAAUUUGUAUGGCUUGGCCAACUUCAUUUAGGACAUUGCUGAUGAAAAGAACUUACUUUGCUUGACACUUCCAGCAUUUCCAUAAAAUGCUAAGUUGCUUGGUGGGAGGUAGACGUCUCUAAUUAAGAUGCAACAUUUGAGCUUUUUGCAAAUGUAAUGACCUCAAGAACUCUUUUUUGACGGAGUGAUGAUCAGUGCUUCAUUUCUCUUUGUUAUAUUGACAAAUAUGAUUAUGAUUAGGUUACAUAUAUAUAUAUAUAUAUAUAUAUAUAUCAGUUUCUGUAGAUAUGAGGAGAUUAAUGAAGGUUAUUGAACAUUACUUUAGUAUUGUACUCCAAGCUUGGUGUUAUCCUAGUGUAUGUUAGUAUUUGGGUAUGGAUGAAUAAUUUUGAUGCCUAAUGAAGUAAUGAAGUGUAUAUAAGGAAAUAUGGCGAUAGUCUAUUCAUUUGGGCGACUUGUCAUGUACCGUUCUGUUCACCUGGAUUUUACUUAUAUCUUAUCUUAUUGCCUCUUUUAUAUUA
RNA transcript from Spinacia oleracea (spinach), 1439 nucleotides. RefSeq lists it as uncharacterized. The record is from RefSeq and is a predicted model, not a curated record. The transcript is spliced from 3 exons. Lineage: Eukaryota; Viridiplantae; Streptophyta; Magnoliopsida; Caryophyllales; Amaranthaceae.